Molecule: non-coding RNA, 74 nt
Organism: Myotis brandtii (Brandt's bat)
Lineage: Eukaryota; Metazoa; Chordata; Mammalia; Chiroptera; Vespertilionidae
Source: Rfam
GCGGUUCUCAGGUGAUGCACCCCAGAAUCGGGCUCCCUCCUCUCUGGUUCUGGGUGUAUCACCCGAGAACCAGA